RNAcentral lists this small nucleolar RNA (115 nucleotides) under Sorex araneus (European shrew). Its description in RNAcentral is "Small nucleolar RNA SNORA29 (ENSSARG00000018715.1)". It matches the Rfam family "Small nucleolar RNA SNORA29". From Rfam's summary of the family: ACA29 is a member of the H/ACA class of snoRNA that guide the sites of modification of uridines to pseudouridines. The record is from RNAcentral. Lineage: Eukaryota; Metazoa; Chordata; Mammalia; Eulipotyphla; Soricidae.
UUUCCCAUCUGACUACCACGUUUUCCUCUAUUCCUAGAUCUUAGUGGCAUAGCCCUGGUCUGAAAAGGGAGGAUUUUUUUGUGUCCUCCUAUAUGAAAUGACUUAACAGAAAAAA